UACGGGGGGGGCAAGCGUUGUUCGGAAUUACUGGGCGUAAAGGGCGCGUAGGCGGCCUGCUAAGUCGGAUGUGAAAUCCCUCGGCUCAACCGAGGAACUGCAUCCGAUACUGGCGGGCUUGAAUCCGGGAGAGGGUCGCGGAAUUCCCGGUGUAGAGGUGAAAUUCGUAGAUAUCGGGUGGAACACCAGUGGCGAAGGCGGCGACCUGGGCAGAUACUGACGCUGAGGUGCGAAAGCGUGGGGAGCAAACAGG
This 253-nucleotide ribosomal RNA is filed under the name uncultured bacterium. RNAcentral's name for it is "partial 16S ribosomal RNA". It matches the Rfam family "Bacterial small subunit ribosomal RNA", at positions 524 to 776 of the family's 1533-position model. The record is from RNAcentral.